This 356-nucleotide ribosomal RNA is filed under the name uncultured bacterium. Its description in RNAcentral is "partial 16S ribosomal RNA". It matches the Rfam family "Bacterial small subunit ribosomal RNA", at positions 338 to 686 of the family's 1533-position model. The record is from RNAcentral.
CCUACGGGAGGCAGCAGUGGGGAAUAUUGCGCAAUGGGCGAAAGCCUGACGCAGCGAAGCCGCGUGAGGGAUGAAUGUCUUCGGAUCGUAAACCUCUGUCAGCAGGGAAGAACGGUCACUGUGCUAAUCAGCAGUGAAUUUACGGUACCUGCAAAGGAAGCACCGGCUAACUCCGUGCCCGCAGCCGCGGUAAUACGGAGGGUGCGAGCGUUAAUCGGAAUUCCUGGGGGUAACGCGCUCGUAGGCGGUAUGUCAAGUCAAGGGUGAAAUGCCCGCGCUCAACGUGGGAACUGCCUUUGAAACUGGCAAACUGGAGGUUGUGAGAGGAUAGUGGAAUUCCAGGUGUAUGAGUGAAA